Molecule: ribosomal RNA, 402 nt
Filed under: bacterium
Lineage: Bacteria
Description: partial 16S ribosomal RNA
Rfam family: Bacterial small subunit ribosomal RNA
Source: RNAcentral
UGGGGAAUUUUGCACAAUGGGGGAAACCCUGAUGCAGCGACGCCGCGUGAUUUAGAAGGCCUUCGGGUUGUAAAAAUCUUUUCUAUGGGAAGAAAAUGACAGUACCAUAGGAAUAAGGACCGGCCAAUUACGUGCCAGCAGCCGCGGUAAUACGUAAGGUCCGAGCGUUGUCCGGAAUCAUUGGGCGUAAAGGGUACGUAGGCGGGUAAGCAAGUUAGAAGUGAAAUCCUAUAGCUCAACUAUAGUAAGCUUUUAAAACUGCUCAUCUUGAGGUAUGGAAGAGAAAGUGGAAUUCCUAGUGUAGCGGUGAAAUGCGCAGAUAUUAGGAAGAAUACCGGUGGCGAAGGCGACUUUCUGGCCAUAACCUGACGCUGAGGUACGAAAGCGUGGGUAGCAAACAGG